GGUUCUGAAUGGAAGGGCCAUCGCUCAACGGAUAAAAGGUACUCCGGGGAUAACAGGCUGAUACCGCCCAAGAGUUCAUAUCGACGGCGGUGUUUGGCACCUCGAUGUCGGCUCAUCACAUCCUGGGGCUGAAGUAGGUCCCAAGGGUAUGGCUGUUCGCCAUUUAAAGUGGUACGCGAGCUGGGUUUAGAACGUCGUGAGACAGUUCGGUCCCUAUCUGCCGUGGGCGUUGGAAGAUUGAGAGGGGCUGCUCCUAGUACGAGAGGACCGGAGUGGACGAAUCACUGGUGUUCGGGUUGUCAUGCCAAUGGCAUUGCCCGGUAGCUAAAUUCGGAAGAGAUAACCGCUGAAAGCAUCUAAGCGGGAAACUUGCCUCGAGAUGAGUCUUCCCUGGGGCUUAAAGCCCCCUGAAGGAACGUUAAAGACUAUGACGUUGAUAGGCUGGG
This 446-nucleotide ribosomal RNA is filed under the name Yersinia pestis. Its description in RNAcentral is "partial 23S ribosomal RNA". It matches the Rfam family "Bacterial large subunit ribosomal RNA", at positions 2425 to 2865 of the family's 2925-position model. The record is from RNAcentral. Lineage: Bacteria; Pseudomonadati; Pseudomonadota; Gammaproteobacteria; Enterobacterales; Yersiniaceae.